This is a long non-coding RNA of Cydia splendana, 731 nucleotides long. RefSeq lists it as uncharacterized. The record is from RefSeq and is a predicted model, not a curated record. NCBI's taxonomy places the organism in Eukaryota, Metazoa, Arthropoda, Insecta, Lepidoptera, Tortricidae. The transcript has 4 exons.
UAAAUAUUUGACGCUGUCAUGUUUUUCGAAUAGUAAAAUAAACAUGUCAAGAGAAAAAAUAGUGAUCUUAUUUAUAGAAAGCUACUAAAGUAUGAAUAAAUACCUACGCAAGAGUAACAUAACAACAUAAAAUGUACUAAUUAAGGUUCAAUGGACUGGCACUGGUUUCACCAAGAACGAUGAGCGAGAAGCGAUUGGAGCUACAAAAUAAGAAAUGAGUUGGCGCGCGAGCAGCGAGAAGCGAGUAUAGUUCUGUUGCAACCGGAAAGCGAUGAUCACACGGCAAAUCAAAUCCUGAAGACUAUAGCAGCCACGUCAAAGAAAGAUAUACCUAUCUACCUACCUACCUACCUACCUAUUAAAAAAAAUGUUUAUUCUUUCUCGUUUGAUAUGGAGUGCGCAAAAGAAUUGCACGACCUGAUCCCAGCUUUCCCUUUCCGGAAGUCCAGGCGCGAGGAGCGAAUGCACCCGUUCGUUGUUAAUAUUCCAUUUGUCCGCACAAAACGAUUUGCCUCAUCUUUUUUGGUAAGGACGAUUAAGGAAUGGAAUGCGCUUCCGUCAUCUGUGUUUCCUGGGAAAUUUGACCUCGGUCUCUUUAAAGCAAGAGUGAAUAGGCUAUUACUUACUGAGCCGGUAAGCUCCAUCAUCUUAGGCUCUGUUUUCACUUUCCAUCAGGUGUGACUAGAGCCAAUGCCCGUUCAGUUUAUUAUAAAAAAUAUAUAUACAAAGAG